RNAcentral lists this ribosomal RNA (253 nucleotides) under uncultured bacterium. RNAcentral describes it as "partial 16S ribosomal RNA". It matches the Rfam family "Bacterial small subunit ribosomal RNA", at positions 524 to 776 of the family's 1533-position model. The record is from RNAcentral.
UACGAAGGGGGCUAGCGUUGCUCGGAAUCACUGGGCGUAAAGCGCACGUAGGCGGAUUGCUAAGUCAGGGGUGAAAUCCUGGAGCUCAACUCCAGAACUGCCUUUGAUACUGGCGGUCUCGAGUCCGGGAGAGGUGAGUGGAACUGCGAGUGUAGAGGUGAAAUUCGUAGAUAUUCGCAAGAACACCGGUGGCGAAGGCGGCCCACUGGUCCGGUACUGACGCUGAGGUGCGAAAGCGUGGGGAGCAAACAGG